AGGAUAUUAGAUUUCCUUAAUGCUCUGUACACAAACUAGCAACUCGGCAACAGGACGUUGCCGAGAGCGAGACCGGAGCCAUGGACGGCGAAUGUCGAGAGAUUGCGUAAAAUUAUCAAAGCUUUUAUCAGAGCGUUUAGAAAAUCUUAUAUCCGAA
Molecule: non-coding RNA, 157 nt
Filed under: uncultured Agathobacter sp.
Lineage: Bacteria; Bacillati; Bacillota; Clostridia; Lachnospirales; Lachnospiraceae
Source: RNAcentral